Xyrichtys novacula (pearly razorfish) is the source of this 751-nucleotide non-coding RNA. NCBI's taxonomy places the organism in Eukaryota, Metazoa, Chordata, Actinopteri, Labriformes, Labridae. The record is from the annotation of a GenBank genome assembly.
GAGUGUGAGAAGGAAAGUGUUCAUGUGGGAGGAGGAGGAGGAGGAGUGGAGCAGACCUCCUCCUCUCCUCCUCUGUGUGAGUGUGGAGCUCCAGAGGGAUGGACUGAUGGUUGGAGUGAAGCUGAACUGUUGGUGUUCCUGGAUGACUCUGCAGAUGUCUCACAGCGGAGGUCGAAGCAAACAGGCCGAGGUCUUCAUGUUAGAGGAGGAGGAGACGGGUGGAGGAGCAGACGGGUGGAGGAGCAGACGGGUGGAGGAGCAGACGGGUGGAGGAGCAGACAGGAACCCGUUAAAGAAGCAUCUUUUUAUUUUGUGAUUAUAGAAACAAAAAUCUUCUAAUAUCAGUCAAUAGUUAUUAGUUAUUGAUUAUUUGGUAAUAUAUCGAUAUCUCUGUGUUCUCUUCUGUCUGUGUCGUCAACAUUUGAACAUUUUUGAGCGGUCCGCUCUUUCUGACUGUAAACAAAGCCGUUCUCCACCUCCUCUAACCUGAUUGGUUGUGAGGCAGACGCUGCUCCCCCGUGUCGUUCAGGAGCCCAAACAAAGUUAGCGUGCUACAAUAUCGGACAGUAGAAACCAACCAGAAAGUUCGGAAAAUUGUCUGAAUCCUCCUUUGGCCACGACUGCCGACACAAGCAAGAAAACACUCAAACAUAAACAGUCAGCAAGAAAACAGUCAACAAGAAAACAGUCAACAAGAAAACAGUCAGCAAGAAAACAGUCAACAAGAAAACAGUCAACAAGAAAACAGUCA